RNAcentral lists this ribosomal RNA (550 nucleotides) under Sinophilus yukoae. RNAcentral describes it as "partial 16S ribosomal RNA". It matches the Rfam family "Bacterial large subunit ribosomal RNA", at positions 1801 to 2622 of the family's 2925-position model. Lineage: Eukaryota; Metazoa; Arthropoda; Insecta; Coleoptera; Staphylinidae. The record is from RNAcentral.
UGUUUAACAAAAACAUGUCUUUUUGUUUAUAAAUAUAAAGUUUAGCCUGCCCAAUGAAUUUUUAAAUGGCUGCAGUAUUUUGACUGUACUAAGGUAGCAUAAUCAAUAGUUUUUUAAUUGAAAGCUGGAAUGAAAGGCUGGACGAGAAAGAAACUGUCUCUUUAUAAAUAUAUUAAAAUUUUAUUUUUAAGUUAAAAAGCUUAAAUUAAAUUAAAAGACGAGAAGACCCUAUAGAGUUUUAUAUAAAUAUUAAAAAUUUAUUUAUAGAAUUUUAAAUAAAUUUUUAAUAUUUUUAUUUUAUUGGGGUGAUGAAAAAAUUUAAUAAACUUUUUUUUAAAAAAACAUAAAUGUAUGAAUUUUUGAUCCAAAAAUAUUUGAUUAAAAGAUUAAAUUACCUUAGGGAUAACAGCGUAAUUUUUUUAAAGAGUUCUUAUUGAUAAAAAAGUUUGCGACCUCGAUGUUGGAUUAAAAUUUAUUUUAGGUGAAGAAGCUAUAAAAUUUGGUCUGUUCGACCAUUAAAAUUUUACAUGAUCUGAGUUUAAACCGGUGU